This 145-nucleotide non-coding RNA is filed under the name Clostridium nigeriense. Its description in RNAcentral is "glmS glucosamine-6-phosphate activated ribozyme". It matches the Rfam family "glmS glucosamine-6-phosphate activated ribozyme aptamer", at positions 5 to 150 of the family's 167-position model. From Rfam's summary of the family: This entry contains a glucosamine-6-phosphate activated ribozyme that is found in the mRNA for GlmS. GlmS is an enzyme that uses fructose-6-phosphate and glutamine to generate glucosamine-6-phosphate. Lineage: Bacteria; Bacillati; Bacillota; Clostridia; Eubacteriales; Clostridiaceae. The record is from RNAcentral.
AUAAAAAAGCGCCAGAGCUAUUUACUAUUUUAGUUAGAAAAUAGCUGACGAGGUUGGGGAGUAUCGAUACUUCGGCGGGUGCCCCACGGUAUGCACACUACCGUUAACAGCUAAUAAAACUGUGAAGUGAUUUGCAGGACAAGAU